AAAAAGGGCUCCCACCGCACGUGGUGCCUAUCCCUCCGGGGAGCGGGCGGAAUGGCUAUCAAGACAUUCCGGGGGCGUAAUCUUUGUCACUGGGGCAGCCGAUCAACCCGGUUGGCGCCCCG
Small nuclear RNA from Clonorchis sinensis, 122 nucleotides. It matches the Rfam family "U11 spliceosomal RNA". The record is from Rfam. Lineage: Eukaryota; Metazoa; Platyhelminthes; Trematoda; Opisthorchiida; Opisthorchiidae.